UUCUACCAGGUUAUAUACAACCAUGAGAAUCAUGUCUGUUGGGGCUUCAAAAACUAAAUCAACCCAAAUAUAUAACAAAAAGAAGCAUGAGAGAAGUGUGAAAAUCAAGAAUGGAGUUUUCAUUUUCUGAAUUCAAGAUUCCUCUAUUUUCAGAAGAUCAAAUGAGGAACUGUCACCGUGCAGGGAACAGCUGUUUUCUGUGGCAGAUGGGAAGAAGGGAUGUGGCCAAUGACAAUUAUCCCUUAAAGCUGUCCCCCAGAAUUGACACGUCACUUCUGCUCCUACCUCUUUGAAUGAACUAGUCUCAUGCCCAUGCUGACUCCAAGGGGCCAAGAGAUGCAAUCCAACUGUCUGACUGGGACGAACCAGGAAUGGUUUCUACAAGAAGAGGUGAUCAACUGAGAAAGAGAAUCAAUUACGGCGUCUCUCUCUAGUGAUGGAGACCCGACGUAGAGAACGGAAUGGUGUUGGUGUGGAGCCAGAAAGGCAUCUUCUGAAGUGCAGUUGGGGCUGAAAUGGUUACCUGUCCACUGUGACUCUUCCAUGUCUAUCCAUGCUCCUCAUCUGUUGGGUUGAGUCACUGUGGAGAAAUGGCUAAGGCACUAGCAUCUAUGUGAGCCAGACUCUCACCUCUAACCUGGGCAUCGAGAUGGGACCAUGGGAAUGAAGGCUUGCCAACGAAGUGCACAUAGAAUUCUCACAUUUCUCUUCUGGGCCAGGUGGCAAGAUAAGAGCGUGACUUCUGUUUUUGACUGAGUUGUGUUCCCCCAAAAUCCAUAUUGUUGGAGUCCUAACCCCAGGACCUCAGAAUUUGACUGUAUUUGGAGAUGGUGUUUUUAAAGAGGUGAUUAAAGUAAAAUGAGGUCAUCAGGGCCUGAUCCAACAGGAUUGGGGUCCUUAUGAGAAGAGGAAAUGAGGACACAGACACGCACAGAGGGAUGACCAUGUGAAGACACAGGGAGAAGACGGUGUCCACACGCCACGGAGAGUGGCCUCAGGAAAAACCAGCAGCCCUGCCCUCACGUGGAUCUCAGACGUCAAGCCUCCGGGAUGGUAAGACAUAAAUAUCUGUGGUUCUUGGUUAUGGCAGCCCUAGCAGGCUAAUGCACUUCUCCAUCCUCUCUCCUCUGAUUAAAUAUCCACAUCCUGGUGAACUUGGAGGCAAGGGUUACAGAUGUCAUAGCCACAAAAUGGAAGGAUGCAGGGUCCCUGAACCAGCUCUUGAGGAGCGUGACCAGCCAACCAGAAACAGCCAUUUUGGAUUUAACAACAGCUAUUUGUUAGCAUCACUGAGAUUUUGGAUUCAUUCGUUAAAGCAGCUCAGCAUUACCCUAACUAACAGAGCGUGUUCUCCAUGCACACGGCGCUCUGCUUUGGU
Molecule: long non-coding RNA, 1378 nt
Filed under: Equus asinus (donkey)
Lineage: Eukaryota; Metazoa; Chordata; Mammalia; Perissodactyla; Equidae
Description: lncRNA (ENSEASG00005034671.1)
Source: RNAcentral